RNAcentral lists this long non-coding RNA (811 nucleotides) under Manihot esculenta (cassava). RNAcentral describes it as "long non-coding RNA (MESC_LNC005034)". The record is from RNAcentral. Lineage: Eukaryota; Viridiplantae; Streptophyta; Magnoliopsida; Malpighiales; Euphorbiaceae.
GUUUUGGUGACCGGCACCGGACCUUUAGGCUGUGUUCCGGCGGAAAUAGCAAUGAGGGGAAGAAACGGAGAAUGCUCCGAGGAAUUGCAGAGAGCAGCUGGCUUGUUUAACCCACAGCUUGUGCAAUUGAUAAAUGAACUGAAUGCUGAAAUUGGAUCCGACAUUUUUGUAGCUGCAAAUGCAUAUGAAAUGAACAUGGAUUUUGUUAACAACCCUCAAACCUAUGGUAAGUUAAUUAUCUCAAUUUCUUUUUUUAUUUUUGAAAAAGAGGCAUGAUUUAUUUGCAUAUGAUCAUGAGAUAAAUUUACCUUUACUAUUAGAACAUGCAUGGCCUGUGGAAAUUAUCAAAUAUAAUGAACAGUAGAUGCAGAUGACCAGUGGGCAAAAGGACUUAUUCACUGGAGAGAAAUCUAUGGGACCAUUGAAAAAUAAAUGCAUUAUGUUGUGAUAGGUCUCUCAGCUUUUUAUUAAAUGCUGAAAUUAAUAUGGAAAAAAUUAAAUUAAUUUAAUUUAAUUAGUUUUUCGAUUUGAUACCCUAAUUAUAUAUUAAUUAAAAAGUGCAUAAUUGUGAUUAUUUUUGGCAGGAUUUGUAACAUCCAAGGUUGCAUGCUGUGGGCAAGGACCUUAUAAUGGGAUUGGAUUAUGCACAGUAGUAUCAAACCUGUGCCCUAAUAGAGACAUCUAUGCAUUUUGGGAUCCAUUUCAUCCAUCUGAAAGGGCUAAUAGAAUCAUUGUUCAACAAAUUGUGACUGGCUCCACCAAGUAUAUGCACCCAAUGAAUCUCAGCACCAUCAUGCUUUUGGAUUCUAGG